Non-coding RNA from Nematostella vectensis (starlet sea anemone), 86 nucleotides. The record is from Rfam. NCBI's taxonomy places the organism in Eukaryota, Metazoa, Cnidaria, Anthozoa, Actiniaria, Edwardsiidae.
CCUUCGAUAGCUCAAUUUGUAGAGCGGGGGGCUGUAGAUUUAUAAUUGUGAUCCCUAGGUCGCUGGUUCGAAUCCGGCUCGAAGGA